AUACGGAGGAUGCAAGUGUUAUCCGGAUUCAUUGGGUUUAAAGGGUGCGCAGGCGGAUUGGUAAGUCAGGGGUGAAAUCCCACAGCUCAACUGUGGAACUGCCCUUGAUACUGUCAGUCUAGAGUAUAGUUGAAGUUGGCGGAAUGUGUCAUGUAGCGGUGAAAUGCUUAGAUAUGACACAGAACACCGAUCGCGAAGGCAGCUGACUAAGCUAUAACUGACGCUCAUGCACGAAAGCGUGGGGAUC
This 247-nucleotide ribosomal RNA is filed under the name uncultured bacterium. RNAcentral's name for it is "partial 16S ribosomal RNA". It matches the Rfam family "Bacterial small subunit ribosomal RNA", at positions 523 to 769 of the family's 1533-position model. The record is from RNAcentral.